Molecule: long non-coding RNA, 245 nt
Organism: Aricia agestis (brown argus)
Lineage: Eukaryota; Metazoa; Arthropoda; Insecta; Lepidoptera; Lycaenidae
Exons: 2
Source: RefSeq, a predicted model, not a curated record
CUAGAUAAAAUUUUAGGGGGUUGUUAAAGAAGGUAAAGUAACUUACCGUGUGAUUUUGCAGCGUUCUGGGGUGUACGGAAAGGGUUGAAAAAGGUUUUUUGUUAAUAACAUUGCGUAAAAAAUUAGUAACACGCUGCAAAUUUGGAAUUAGGUUGUUCUUACCGUUUUGUAAUGUGUAUUAAAUUUGCAGCGUUUUGCAAUACACGGAACAUUGUUUAUUAUUAAAAAACAAUAAAAUUUGUUAA